This 637-nucleotide ribosomal RNA is filed under the name Tetanocera fuscinervis. RNAcentral describes it as "partial 12S ribosomal RNA". The stretch from base 419 to 490 matches the Rfam family "tRNA". Lineage: Eukaryota; Metazoa; Arthropoda; Insecta; Diptera; Sciomyzidae. The record is from RNAcentral.
GACCUGAGUAGUAUUAGUUAUGUUCUUGAAACUUAAAAAAUUUGGCGGUAUUUUAGUCUAUUCAGAGGAACCUGUUCUGUAAUCGAUAAUCCACGAUGGACCUUUCUUGUAAUUGUAUUUCAGUUUAUAUACCGUCGUUAACAGAAUAUUUUAAAAGAAUAAUAAUUUUCAAUUUAUUUUAUAAAAUCUUAUAUCAGAUCAAGGUGUAGCUUAUGUACAAGUAGAAAUGGGUUACAAUAAAAGUAUUUAAAUGGAUAUUAAUAUGAAAAAUUAAUUGAAAGUGGAUUUGAAAGUAAAUUUAUAGAGAUUAAUAAAUUGACCUUAGCUCUAAAAUAUGCACACAUCGCCCGUCGCUCUUAUUACUAAGAUAAGAUAAGUCGUAACAUAGUAGAAGUACCGGAAGGUGUUUCUAGAAUGACAGCUUAAAGCUUAAUAAGUAAAGUAUUUCAUUUACAUUGAAAGGAUUUUUGUGCAAAUCAUUAUAAGUUGAUUAGAUUUUAUUUAUUAAUUAAGAUUUUUUAAAAUAUACAUUAUUAAAAAUAAUUAUAAAAUUAAAAGUUUUUGUAUCGUAUAAAGAUAAAAUAAUUUAAGUAAUAGUUCAAUAGUAUUGUAAAAGAACAUUGAAAUAAUUGAAAAA